GGGGGUGGUUGGGGGGGGGGGGGAGAAAGAAGCGAGUAUCUUGGGGGAAUGUUACCGUGAUCGUUUUUGAAAUGCAUUUUAUAACCAAAAAAAAGUUGCUUGACUUGAAUUCAAACUCCAGGGCUCAAGCCUCUUUAGGACAAUACUCUAACAAACAGUGAAGUGUUAAAUGGAAAUAAAUUGUAUAGUUAUUUCUUGUUAGUUUUAAACGACCUUAUUCUCUACACAAAGUAUUAAGGGAACUAAUUCAACUAAUACCCCGAGAAAUCAAUCAAGUACAAUUUCUUUCCCUCGUUCGAUACCAAGCAAAAUUAUUAAUUAUCAAUACGAUACUAUACUUAAUUAACUAAUAAGUAGUUAUUUGAUAGAUUCGAUAUUAAACACAAUAAUUAAUGAACAAUAAUUAAUUGAAUAUUUUUUUAAGCUGAUUAAUUUUUGAUUCAUAAUUGUUUAACGUUUCAACUUGAUCCGAGAAUGGGUGUAGAAAAAAUAUUGUGUUCAUAGACUUUUAUAGUAUACUAGACUGGAAACCGGAAAUAAAUUCUUAUCCGCGACUGAUCGAUUCACAGACCUAUAUAUAUAUAUAGAGAGAGAUUUUUGUGUACGUAAACUCUUUUUUAAGCGCUAUGGGGAGUCUUAGAAAAGUAAUGAUCUUUAGUUUUCAAAGUUUA
This is a non-coding RNA of Biomphalaria pfeifferi, 671 nucleotides long. Lineage: Eukaryota; Metazoa; Mollusca; Gastropoda; Planorbidae. The record is from the annotation of a GenBank genome assembly.